CAAUGUACAUAUUUAUUACUUCCGAAUUUUUUUACGAGAAAAAUAUUUUGGAGUUUUUUUUUGUCUCGGAAAUUUUAUUGCGUUUAUACUUUCUUAGGUAAUUGGAAAAGAGCAAAUCUGUACAACACAGCAAUAUAAUAAACUAAUUGCUACUUUGCUUGUGGUUUUCGUAUACAUAUGCAAAUAAUUCCAAUUAUGUGCUAACGUUACUGAAUUGAAUCUCGGAGAACUAUAAGCGACUUGAAAGAUAUAGAAUAAAGGCGAACAAUUAUGGAUAUCGCAAAUCGUCGGUGUAGGAAUAAAAUAGCGAUGUAAUGUAAAAUUAAAAAUGAAAAAAAACUUGAAUCUAAUACUCGAGAACUUGAGAAACUUGAAAUUUAAAACAUACAAUAGAAUUGUCAAUUGAGUUGCACGAAGGAAACACUAGUAGUACUACUAUGUGUAUGACACGAGAAAGUUGGAUGGUGAUUGUUGCGACACUCGGAAGCAAUUUCUAUGAGCGUGAAAGCUCUGAUUUUUACUAGAUUAAAAAGUUAAAAACUUCUUAUCUGUAUCGGUGAGUGUAACUAAUCUUAUCGGUAUAGUGAGUAUAAAGUGACGAGUAAAGUUUACUUUGAAGUUUAUAAAACGACGUAUAAAGUUUACUUUAACGAUCACUUUGGCAAUCAUUUCAACAAGCACAUUCUAAGAGAACAAUGGAAGAUUUAAUUGUUGAAGAGAAAUCGAAAGUAAAAUUGGAAGAUUUAAGUAUUGUAGCGUUGAAAAGGUUGCUGCGCAAUUGAGAAUUGAAUACAAAUGGUGAUAGGGAAACUCUCAUAUCCAGAUUACGUAAAUUCAUGACAGAAAGGAUAGGAGGACAGGAAGGACAGAAAAUUGUGGUUGAAGACAACUCAAAUGGCAGAAAGGUUAAUUCCGAAACAAGAAAAGAAGAGCUAAAGUUGGUGCAGCUCAACGACAUGAAAUGUCAGGCGUUAUUACAAGAGAAAUUAAACAUUAUAUGUGAAAAGGCAAAGUUAAAAUUAGAAUUGGACGAAAUAAAACGUGAAAACGAGUCUCUACAAUUUCAUAUCAAGAUACAAGAAAAUGUGUCUUUGCAACUCAGAGCGGAGCUCGACUCUGUAAAACGCAAGAUAAAAUCGAACGAGUUAUUAGGACCGGAAGCAAAAGAUUAUAUUAAACAAUAUUUAACUGAAGAAAAUGAUAAUAUGACAAUGUCAUUAUGUGAGAAAAUUAACAACCUAAUACGUGAAAAGUUAGUUGCAAAGUUAAAAUUAGAAAUUGGCGAAAUUAAAUUUUGAAAAGUAGUUUCUGCAAUAAGAGCUCAACUCUGUAAAACGCGCGUAAUCUGAAUCUGGAUUACAUGGUACAUCUGACCACAGAAUACAACGAAGAAAAAAAGAAAUUCUCAUUAUCAUCAUGCAGCAGGAUCCAGAUCGCAACAAAGCAAAAUAAUUCGAAUUUAAUAAGAAAACAAUAUAUUUGAUUUUUUAGAGUUGAAUCCUAUGAAUCAACUUCAUAGGAUAGUUGUAAAAUUUGACUUAAUUUUACUUAUUGCAUAUUACGUAUCAAUACAAUAUCGUCUGGAUCAACAUAAUUAUUUAGUGUAAAGCAUAGUAAAAUGUAUAUUUUGUUUUAUUUGUAACAAUGAUUUAUAUAACAUUUGAAAUGUAAUACAGAAAUAAACGUGUCAAAUAAAUAGUUGCAUUAUCCGGAAGUCGAUGU
Linepithema humile (Argentine ant) is the source of this 1722-nucleotide long non-coding RNA. RefSeq lists it as uncharacterized. The record is from RefSeq and is a predicted model, not a curated record. Lineage: Eukaryota; Metazoa; Arthropoda; Insecta; Hymenoptera; Formicidae.